ACUUGUGCGGUCCUUGCCACCACGCCAGCCACGCCUAAUAAUAAGAAAUUAGAACUUACGACAGCCACUAAGACUGUCCGCAGCAGCAGCGGCGACCGGAGGAGCAGAGCGGCAGAGGAGCAGGAGCCAGGACUAUAAUCGUCUUGUACUUGGCUGGGUAAGGAACUUUAAGCUAACCGCAAAAUGUCCUGCCAAGUGGGGAUAGAGCCGGAUGGAAUGGGAGUGCAGAUGGGAUUGGGAAAAGGAUUGGAAGUGGAAGUGGAAGUGGGCAGUGAGCAGGAAGGCGGUCCAGAUGGAAUCGAGACUGCAGACUGUAGUGUCCUAGCACCAUGCCAGACGAUCUCACUAGAAAGGGCUAAGAAUAAUAUAAUGACAAUGGAUGUUAGCAAUUGUUUCCCUGUUCAGUUCAUACAACGAACAAGAGAUCUUAACAAUACAUUU
Non-coding RNA from Drosophila melanogaster (fruit fly), 441 nucleotides. The record is from Ensembl. Lineage: Eukaryota; Metazoa; Arthropoda; Insecta; Diptera; Drosophilidae.